CGAGACAAUUGUACAGAGUAAUCUACAUAAUAAGAGAUACACCAAUGGCAGUAAUGAGAUUCAUGAACUAGCUAAGUAAAGGUUAAAUGAAAGAACCCCUUGGUUAAAGCUUCUAUGAGAAACUCAAAUAUUUCUAACUAGUAAAUCAUUCAAUUUAAAAUCCAACGGAAACUAGGAAAGAUGAAAAAAACUACAACUAGUUAAGAUAAG
This is a long non-coding RNA of Arabidopsis thaliana (thale cress), 210 nucleotides long. RefSeq annotates it as other RNA. Lineage: Eukaryota; Viridiplantae; Streptophyta; Magnoliopsida; Brassicales; Brassicaceae. The transcript has a single exon. The record is from RefSeq.